UGGGGAAUAUUGCACAAUGGGCGCAAGCCUGAUGCAGCCAUGCCGCGUGUGUGAAGAAGGCCUUCGGGUUGUAAAGCACUUUCAGCGGGGAGGAAGGCGAUAAGGUUAAUAACCUUGUCGAUUGACGUUACCCGCAGAAGAAGCACCGGCUAACUCCGUGCCAGCAGCCGCGGUAAUACGGAGGGUGCAAGCGUUAAUCGGAAUUACUGGGCGUAAAGCGCACGCAGGCGGUUUGUUAAGUCAGAUGUGAAAGCCCCCGGCUCAACCGGGGAGGGUCAUUGGAAACUGGGAGACUUGAGUGCAGAAGAGGAGAGUGGAAUUCCAUGUGUAGCGGUGAAAUGCGUAGAUAUAUGGAGGAACACCAGUGGCGAAGGCGGCUCUCUGGUCUGUAACUGACGCUGAGGCUCGAAAGCGUGGGGAGCAAACAGG
This 429-nucleotide ribosomal RNA is filed under the name Chloroflexota bacterium. RNAcentral describes it as "Chloroflexi bacterium partial 16S ribosomal RNA". It matches the Rfam family "Bacterial small subunit ribosomal RNA", at positions 355 to 776 of the family's 1533-position model. Lineage: Bacteria; Bacillati; Chloroflexota. The record is from RNAcentral.